Molecule: ribosomal RNA, 499 nt
Filed under: uncultured bacterium
Lineage: Bacteria
Description: partial 16S ribosomal RNA
Rfam family: Bacterial small subunit ribosomal RNA
Source: RNAcentral
GACGAACGCUGGCGGCGUGCUUAACACAUGCCAGUCGAACGGGCCCGCUCUCUUUUUUGGGGGUGGGUUGAGUGGCGAACGGGUGAGUAUCACGUGAGUAACCUGCCCCCUGCUCCUGGAUAACUGCUUGAAAGGGCGGCUAAUACGGGGUGUGCCGGCUGGUCCGCAUGGGCCUGGUCGGGAUAGUUUCAUCUUCGGGUGUUUCGGUGGGGGAUGGGCUCGCGGCCUAUCAGCUUGUUGGUGGGGUGAUGGCCCACCAAGGCGGUGACGGGUAGCCGGGCUGAGAGGGUGGGCGGCCACACUGGGACUGAGACACGGCCCAGACUCCGGCGGGAGGCAGCAGUGGGGGGUAUUGCACAAUGGGCGGAAGCCUGAUGCAGCGACGUCGCGUGAGGGAUGGAGGCCGUCGGGUGGUGAACCUCUUUCUCCGGUGGUGAAGGCCCUGUCCGUUGCGGCGGGGUUGACGGUAGCCGGGGAUGAAGCGCCGGCUAACUACGUG